Long non-coding RNA from Varroa destructor (honeybee mite), 1487 nucleotides. RefSeq lists it as uncharacterized. NCBI's taxonomy places the organism in Eukaryota, Metazoa, Arthropoda, Arachnida, Mesostigmata, Varroidae. The record is from RefSeq and is a predicted model, not a curated record.
AAAUGUCGGCGGGCUGCCGGUCGCAACGGGCAUACGUUCAUUCGCUACUCCUGAUAGCAGACGAAAGUCAGUUCUUUUCACAAGAAAAUAACAAACGUAUCGGGAACAACAGUGAACUGUUUUCGGAACUUGAGAAAACAUCGGCUGUUAUCCAACCUUUAGGCGUCCACUAAGUCAUCGCCACCGUCUCUAAAAUCUACUCAACUCCGCGCACAGAGGCUAAAUGAGUGCGUGGAAAUGAAAAUCAUAGAGAUGCCGAUCUCACACCCCCGAAAUGUGAAAGAGUCGAGCAUGAUCGAAAUAUCAUGUGAUUUCGUGGAGCAUCCCCGGAAAGUUCGCUCGCUUCCUCCCGAACUGACUACGCAGUCUCCACAAGAAUCUUUGAAACCAUAUGGUGGUUUGCGACGCGCUAUAUUUCUGCUAAAGCUAGUUUGUUGCCUGGGGGAUCUAUGCAUGGUUCAUUAAAUAUGACACUAAUUUAAAAAGCCUUUUCUGUAUUUAGCUAUGUUAAUUUUGCUCACAGAAGCAGGUAAUUAAUUACACUGCCGGUAAAAAGGUUUUGCAGUUCGUUUGUUAUUUUCUGUCGUAUGUUUCAUAUUCAAUAGGAGAACUAGUCAACAACAAUGACACAGCGUUACAUCUGAGGUGAGAACUUUGCAACUUGCACUUUUGAAAACUUCGACAAACUGUGUGGUCUUAAAUUAGUUCUAUGCAAAUAAAAUCAAAGCACGAACCGACGUCACGAGGUUUCACUUCCAUUUUGAACCACCAUUGAACGACGACGAACAUACGCUUAUAAACUUUUAUAUCAAGAAAAGCUAAGGCGAUUCCAUUACAUUUGCAACGAAUUCAAGCAGUCGUGAUUGCCUCAUGACGGACUCGAGCUCCAACUGUGGCUUUUAAACAUAUGUUAGCGAUAUUGAGCGCACCUAUGAGAGUUAUUUUUUAAACCGUUACCUUUUAAAUAAUAACCACAAAAUGAAGAACCUUUCAACUUCUUUUAACACACACGCGUUUUAUGUUACAUAUUAAUUUUCUUUUUCUUUCGAGCUUAUUCAAUAUAAUAUUAUACAAUACACCUCGUACAUGUCCAUAUUGAAUGCAAGUUUAUAUUGAGCUAGUAAGCGUGCCCAGACGGGACUUAUGUACUUGAUAUCCUCGUUGAUUGCUGAUGUCUUUCGCCCAUUGAGAAAAACUUAUCGGAAUUAAGUACCUCCUCUAGUUUUUGAGAUGUUUUUUUUCGGCAUCUUCAAAAGACGCAGCGUAACAGACUAACAGUUAUACAUCACUGUCAUUGACAAAAAUCAAGAAGUGAGACCAUUUGGCGCACUUAUGCUGCUCACGGUGUAGCCGUAAGCUUCAGUUAAUGAAAUUGGCUUUGAGGUGUGUCAUUCAGAUGUUGCCAUCUACAAAACGGCCAUAAAAAACGCGGUUGGCGAGCUCAGUACGCGCCGCAGCAGCUCGUGCGGUGUUCCUGGUCGAUUCAU